CCUUGCCAUGAAGUAUGGUGGUGUCUAGCACU
This 32-nucleotide non-coding RNA is filed under the name Homo sapiens (human). Lineage: Eukaryota; Metazoa; Chordata; Mammalia; Primates; Hominidae. The record is from RNAcentral.